This 253-nucleotide ribosomal RNA is filed under the name uncultured bacterium. RNAcentral describes it as "partial 16S ribosomal RNA". It matches the Rfam family "Bacterial small subunit ribosomal RNA", at positions 524 to 776 of the family's 1533-position model. The record is from RNAcentral.
UACGUAGGGUGCAAGCGUUGUCCGGAAUUAUUGGGCGUAAAGAGCUCGUAGGCGGUUUGUCGCGUCUGCUGUGAAAACCCGAGGCUCAACCUCGGGCCUGCAGUGGGUACGGGCAGACUAGAGUGCGGUAGGGGAGAUUGGAAUCCUGGUGUAGCGGUGGAAUGCGCAGAUAUCAGGAGGAACACCGAUGGCGAAGGCAGAUCUCUGGGCCGUAACUGACGCUGAGGAGCGAAAAGCAUGGGGAGCGAACAGG